AGAACGAACGCUGGCGGCAUGCCUAACACAUGCAAGUCGAACGCUUUUGGGGCUUCGGUCCCAAAGGAGUGGCGCACGGGUGAGUAGCGCGUGGGAACCUGCCCUGUUGUGGGGGAUAACCGAGGGAAACUUCGGCUAAUACCGCAUACGCCCGGGGGAAACUCCGGGGAAAGAUUUAUCGCAGCAGGAGGGGCCCGCGUCGGAUUAGGUAGUUGGUGGGGUAACGGCCCACCAAGCCUGUGAUCCGUAGCUGGUCUGAGAGGAUGAUCAGCCACACUGGGACUGAGACACGGCCCAGACUCCUACGGGAGGCAGCAGUGGGGAAUAUUGGACAAUGGGCGCAAGCCUGAUCCAGCAAUGCCGCGUGAGUGAUGAAGGCCUUCGGGUUGUAAAGCUCUUUCGCACGCGACGAUGAUGACGGUAGCGCGAGAAGAAGCCCGGCUAACUUCGCGCCAGCAGCCGC
Molecule: ribosomal RNA, 463 nt
Filed under: uncultured bacterium
Lineage: Bacteria
Description: SSU rRNA
Rfam family: Bacterial small subunit ribosomal RNA
Source: RNAcentral